CAUAGCCACGGUAAUACAGAGGGUGCGAGCGUUAAUCGGAUUUACUGGGCGUAAAGCGUGUGUAGGCGGCUUUUUAAGUCGGAUGUGAAAUCCCUGAGCUUAACUUAGGAAUUGCAUUCGAUACUGGGAAGCUAGAGUAUGGGAGAGGAUGGUAGAAUUCCAGGUGUAGCGGUGAAAUGCGUAGAGAUCUGGAGGAAUACCGAUGGCGAAGGCAGCCAUCUGGCCUAAUACUGACGCUGAGGUACGAAAGCAUGGGGAGCAAACAGGAUUAGAUACCCCUGUAGUCCCUGUCUCUUAUACA
Molecule: ribosomal RNA, 301 nt
Filed under: uncultured bacterium
Lineage: Bacteria
Description: partial 16S ribosomal RNA
Rfam family: Bacterial small subunit ribosomal RNA
Source: RNAcentral